AGAGUUUGAUCCUGGCUCAGGAUGAACGCUGACAGAAUGCUUAACACAUGCAAGUCGACUCGAGUCUUCGGACUUGGGUGGCGCACGGGUGAGUAACGCGUAAAGAACUUGCCUCUUAGACCGGGACAACAUCUGGAAACGGAUGCUAAUACCGGAUAUUAUGGUUUUUUCGCAUGGAGGAAUCAUGAAAGCUAGAUGCGCUAAGAGAGAGCUUUGCGUCCCAUUAGCUGGUUGGUGAGGUAACGGCCCACCAAGGCAAUGAUGGGUAGCCGGCCUGAGAGGGUGAACGGCCACAAGGGGACUGAGACACGGCCCUUACUCCUACGGGAGGCAGCAGUGGGGAAUAUUGGACAAUGGACCACAAGUCUGAUCCAGCAAUUCUGUGUGCACGAUGACGUUUUUCGGAAUGUAAAGUGCUUUCAGUCGGGAAGAAGUCAGUGACGGUACCGACAGAAGAAGCGGCGGCUAAAUACGUGCCAGCAGCCGCGGUAAUACGUAUGUCGCAAGCGUUAUCCGGAUUUAUUGGGCGUAAAGCGCGUCUAGGCGGCAAGGAAAGUCUGAUGUGAAAAUGCGGAGCUCAACUCCGUAUGGCGUUGGAAACUGCCUUACUAGAGUACUGGAGAGGUAGGCGGAACUACAAGUGUAGAGGUGAAAUUCGUAGAUAUUUGUAGGAAUGCCGAUGGGGAAGCCAGCCUACUGGACAGAUACUGACGCUAAAGCGCGAAAGCGUGGGUAGCAAACAGGAUUAGAUACCCUGGUAGUCCACGCUGUAAACGAUGAUUACUAGGUGUUGGGGGUCAAACCUCAGCGCCCAAGCUAACGCGAUAAGUAAUCCGCCUGGGGAGUACGUACGCAAGUAUGAAACUCAAAGGAAUUGACGGA
RNAcentral lists this ribosomal RNA (882 nucleotides) under uncultured bacterium. RNAcentral describes it as "bacterial SSU rRNA". It matches the Rfam family "Bacterial small subunit ribosomal RNA", at positions 8 to 917 of the family's 1533-position model. The record is from RNAcentral.